Molecule: ribosomal RNA, 460 nt
Filed under: uncultured bacterium
Lineage: Bacteria
Description: partial 16S ribosomal RNA
Rfam family: Bacterial small subunit ribosomal RNA
Source: RNAcentral
CCUACGGGAGGCAGCAGUGAGGAAUAUUGGUCAAUGGGCGAAAUCCUGAACCAGCCAUGCCGCGUGCAGGACGACGGCUCUACGAGUUGUAAACCGCUUUUGUACCGGGGUAAAAUGCUCCACGUGUAGGGUUUUGAAAGUACCGUACGAAUAAGGAUCGGCUAACUCCGUGCCAGCAGCCGCGGUAAUACGGAGGAUACGAGCGUUAUCCGGAUUUAUUGGGUUUAAAGGGUGCGCAGGUUGUUGUAGAAGUUAGCGGUGAAAUUGCGGUGCUCAACAUCGGGACUGCCGUUGAUACUGUAGGCCUAGAGAGCGGGUGCAGCAGGCGGAAUGUGUGGUGUAGCGGUGAAAUGCAUAGAUAUUACGCAGAACACCGAUUGCGAAGGCAGCAUGCUGGCGCGCAUCUGACGCUGAUGCACGAAAGCGUGGGUAUCGAACAGGAUUAGAUACCCCGGUAGUC